Molecule: transfer RNA, 77 nt
Filed under: Acidaminococcales bacterium
Lineage: Bacteria; Bacillati; Bacillota; Negativicutes; Acidaminococcales
Description: tRNA-Arg
Rfam family: tRNA
About the family: Transfer RNA (tRNA) molecules are approximately 80 nucleotides in length. Their secondary structure includes four short double-helical elements and three loops (D, anti-codon, and T loops).
Source: RNAcentral
GCGCCCGUAGCUCAGGUGGAUAGAGCAGCGGUUUCCUAAACCGCGUGCCGGGAGUUCGAGUCUCUCCGAGCGCACCA